GAUGAACGCUGGCGGCGUGCCUAAUACAUGCAAGUCGAGCGAACAGAUAAGGAGCUUGCUCCUUUGACGUUAGCGGCGGACGGGUGAGUAACACGUGGGUAACCUACCUAUAAGACUGGAAUAACUCCGGGAAACCGGGGCUAAUACCGGAUAACAUUUAGAACCGCAUGGUUCUAAAGUGAAAGAUGGUUUUGCUAUCACUUAUAGAUGGAUCCGCGCCGUAUUAGCUAGUUGGUAAGGUAACGGCAUACCAAGGCAACGAUACGUAGCCGACCUGAGAGGGUGAUCGGCCACACUGGAACUGAGACACGGUCCAGACUCCUACGGGAGGCAGCAGUAGGGAAUCUUCCGCAAUGGGCGAAAGCCUGACGGAGCAACGCCGCGUGAGUGAUGAAGGUCUUCGGAUCGUAAAACUCUGUUAUUAGGGAAGAACAAAUGUGUAAGUAACUGUGCACGUCUUGACGGUACCUAAUCAGAAAGCCACGGCUAACUACGUG
RNAcentral lists this ribosomal RNA (497 nucleotides) under uncultured bacterium. RNAcentral describes it as "partial 16S ribosomal RNA". It matches the Rfam family "Bacterial small subunit ribosomal RNA", at positions 28 to 507 of the family's 1533-position model. The record is from RNAcentral.